GAUCCUGGCUCAGGAUGAACGCUGGCGGCGUGCUUAACACAUGCAAGUCGAACGAAGCAACUAUCUUGCUGCAAGAAAGUGACUUAGUGGCGGACGGGUGAGUAACGCGUGGGUAACCUGCCUCAUACAGGGGGAUAACAGUUGGAAACGACUGCUAAGACCGCAUAACCCGCUAGUGUCGCAUGACACGGACGGAAAAUAUUUAUAGGUAUGAGAUGGGCCCGCGUCUGAUUAGCUAGUUGGUAAGGUAACGGCUUACCAAGGCGACGAUCAGUAGCCGACUUGAGAGAGUGAUCGGCCACAUUGGGACUGAGACACGGCCCAAACUCCUACGGGAGGCAGCAGUGGGGAAUAUUGGACAAUGGGGGAAACCCUGAUCCAGCCGACGCCGCGUGAGUGAAGAAGUAUUUCGGUAUGUAAAGCUCUAUCAGCAGGGAAGAUAAUGACAGUACCUGACUAAGAAGCCCCGGCUAACUACGUGCCAGCAGCUGC
RNAcentral lists this ribosomal RNA (492 nucleotides) under uncultured bacterium. RNAcentral's name for it is "bacterial SSU rRNA". It matches the Rfam family "Bacterial small subunit ribosomal RNA", at positions 15 to 518 of the family's 1533-position model. The record is from RNAcentral.